Molecule: transfer RNA, 71 nt
Filed under: Marmota monax (woodchuck)
Lineage: Eukaryota; Metazoa; Chordata; Mammalia; Rodentia; Sciuridae
Description: tRNA.Ala
Rfam family: tRNA
About the family: Transfer RNA (tRNA) molecules are approximately 80 nucleotides in length. Their secondary structure includes four short double-helical elements and three loops (D, anti-codon, and T loops).
Source: RNAcentral
GGGGCUGUAGCUCAGUGGCAGAGCACUUGCCUUGCAUGUAUGAGGCACUGGGUUUGAUCCUCAGCACCACA